Non-coding RNA from Schistosoma haematobium, 45 nucleotides. Lineage: Eukaryota; Metazoa; Platyhelminthes; Trematoda; Strigeidida; Schistosomatidae. The record is from Rfam.
AUCCAACUGACGAGUCCUGGGUAGGACGAAACGUGCGUUCUGGAU